AUUGAACGCUGGCGGCAGGCCUAACACAUGCAAGUCGAACGGUAGCACAGAGAGCUUGCUCUCGGGUGACGAGUGGCGGACGGGUGAGUAACGUCUGGGAAACUGCCCGAUGGCGGGGGAUAACUACUGGAAACGGUAGCUAAUACCGCAUAACGUCGCAAGACCAAAGUGGGGGACCUUCGGGCCUCACACCCACGGAAGUGCCCAGAGGGGAUUAGCUAGUAGGUGGGGUAAUGGCUCACCUAGGCGACGAACCCUAGCUGGUCUGAGAGGAUGACCAGCCACACUGGAACUGAGACACGGUCCAGACUCCUACGGGAGGCAGCAGUGGGGAAUAUUGCACAAUGGGCGCAAGCCUGAUGCAGCCAUGCCGCGUGUAUGAAGAAGGCCUUCGGGUUGUAAAGUACUUUCAGCGGGGAGGAAGGCGGUGAAGUUAAUAACUUCACCGAUUGACGUUACCCGCAGAAGAAGCACCGGCUAACUCCGUGCCAGCCGCCGCGGUAA
RNAcentral lists this ribosomal RNA (504 nucleotides) under uncultured bacterium. RNAcentral describes it as "partial 16S ribosomal RNA". It matches the Rfam family "Bacterial small subunit ribosomal RNA", at positions 29 to 523 of the family's 1533-position model. The record is from RNAcentral.